This 492-nucleotide ribosomal RNA is filed under the name uncultured bacterium. RNAcentral describes it as "partial 16S ribosomal RNA". It matches the Rfam family "Bacterial small subunit ribosomal RNA", at positions 29 to 507 of the family's 1533-position model. The record is from RNAcentral.
AGUGAACGCUGGCGGUAGGCCUAACACAUGCAAGUCGAACGGCAGCACAGUAAGAGCUUGCUCUUACGGGUGGCGAGUGGCGGACGGGUGAGGAAUACAUCGGAAUCUACUUUUUCGUGGGGGAUAACGUAGGGAAACUUACGCUAAUACCGCAUACGACCUACGGGUGAAAGCAGGGGAUCUUCGGACCUUGCGCGAUUGAAUUAGCCGAUGUCGGAUUAGCUAGUUGGCGAGGUAAAGGCCCACCAAGGCGACGAUCCGUAGCUGGUCUGAGAGGAUGAUCGGCCACACUGGAACUGAGACACGGUCCAGACUCCUACGGGAGGCAGCAGUGGGGAAUAUUGGACAAUGGGCGCAAGCCUGAUCCAGCCAUACCGCGUGGGUGAAGAAGGCCUUCGGGUUGUAAAGCCCUUUUGUUGGGAAAGAAAAGCAGCAGGUUAAUACCCCGCUGUUCUGACGGUACCCAAAGAAUAAGCACCGGCUAACUUCGUG